Molecule: ribosomal RNA, 253 nt
Filed under: uncultured bacterium
Lineage: Bacteria
Description: partial 16S ribosomal RNA
Rfam family: Bacterial small subunit ribosomal RNA
Source: RNAcentral
UACGGAGGGUGCAAGCGUUAUCCGGAUUCACUGGGCUUAAAGGGUGCGUAGGUGGGCAGGUAAGUCAGUGGUGAAAUCCCCGAGCUUAACUUGGGAACUGCCAUUGAUACUAUUUGUCUUGAAUACUGUGGAGGUUAGCGGAAUAUGUCAUGUAGCGGUGAAAUGCUUAGAUAUGACAUAGAACACCAAUUGCGAAGGCAGCUGGCUACACAAAUAUUGACACUGAUGCACGAAAGCGUGGGGAUCAAACAGG